AGUGAACGCUGGCGGUAGGCCUAACACAUGCAAGUCGAACGGCAGCACAGUAAGAGCUUGCUCUUACGGGUGGCGAGUGGCGGACGGGUGAGGAAUACAUCGGAAUCUACUUUUUCGUGGGGGAUAACGUAGGGAAACUUACGCUAAUACCGCAUACGACCUACGGGUGAAAGCAGGGGAUCUUCGGACCUUGCGCGAUUGAAUGAGCCGAUGUCGGAUGAGCUAGUUGGCGGGGUAAAGGCCCACCAAGGCGACGAUCCGUAGCUGGCCUGAGAGGAUGAUCAGCCAGACUGGAACUGAGACACGGUCCAGACUCCUACGGGAGGCAGCAGUGGGGAAUAUUGGACAAUGGGCGCAAGCCUGAUCCAGCCAUACCGCGUGGGUGAAGAAGGACUUCGGGUUGUAAAGCCCUUUUGUUGGGAAAGAAAAGCAGCAGGUUAAUACCCCGCUGUUCUGACGGUACCCAAAGAAUAAGCACCGGCUAACUUCGUG
RNAcentral lists this ribosomal RNA (492 nucleotides) under uncultured bacterium. RNAcentral's name for it is "partial 16S ribosomal RNA". It matches the Rfam family "Bacterial small subunit ribosomal RNA", at positions 29 to 507 of the family's 1533-position model. The record is from RNAcentral.